UACGUAGGGUGCAAGCGUUGUCCGGAAUUACUGGGCGUAAAGGGCUGGUAGGCGGCCAACUAAGUCGGAUGUGAAAUCCCCAGGCUUAACCUGGGAACUGCAUCCGAUACUGGUCGGCUUGAAUCCGGGAGAGGGAUGCAGAAUUCCAGGUGUAGCGGUGAAAUGCGUAGAUAUCUGGAGGAAUACCGGUGGCGAAGGCGGCAUCCUGGACCGGCAUUGACGCUGAACAGCGAAAGCUAGGGGAGCAAACGGG
RNAcentral lists this ribosomal RNA (253 nucleotides) under uncultured bacterium. RNAcentral describes it as "partial 16S ribosomal RNA". It matches the Rfam family "Bacterial small subunit ribosomal RNA", at positions 524 to 776 of the family's 1533-position model. The record is from RNAcentral.